GACGAACGCUGGCGGCGUGCCUAAUACAUACAAGUCGAGCGGACUGAAUGGGAGCUUGCUCUUGUUCGGUCAGCGGCGGACGGGUGAGUAACACGUGGGCAACCUGCCCGCAAGACCGGGAUAACUCCGGGAAACCGGAGCUAAUACCGGAUAACACCGAAGACCGCAUGGUCUUUGGUUGAAAGGCGGCGCAAGCUGCCACUUGCGGAUGGGCCCGCGGCGCAUUAGCUAGUUGGUGAGGUAACGGCUCACCAAGGCGACGAUGCGUAGCCGGCCUGAGAGGGUGACCGGCCACACUGGGACUGAGACACGGCCCAGACUCCUACGGGAGGCAGCAGUAGGGAAUCUUCCGCAAUGGGCGAAAGCCUGACGGAGCGACGCCGCGUGAGCGAAGAAGGCCUUCGGGUCGUAAAGCUCUGUUGUGAGGGACGAAGGAGCGCCGUUUGAAGAAGGCGGCGCGGUGACGGUACCUCACGAGGAAGCCCCGGCUAACUACGUG
RNAcentral lists this ribosomal RNA (499 nucleotides) under uncultured bacterium. Its description in RNAcentral is "partial 16S ribosomal RNA". It matches the Rfam family "Bacterial small subunit ribosomal RNA", at positions 28 to 507 of the family's 1533-position model. The record is from RNAcentral.